This 400-nucleotide ribosomal RNA is filed under the name uncultured bacterium. RNAcentral's name for it is "bacterial SSU rRNA". It matches the Rfam family "Bacterial small subunit ribosomal RNA", at positions 355 to 772 of the family's 1533-position model. The record is from RNAcentral.
UGGGGAAUAUUGGACAAUGGGGGCAACCCUGAUCCAGCAAUGCCGCGUGAGUGAUGAAGGCCUUCGGGUUGUAAAGCUCUUUUCUUGGGGACGAUAAUGACGGUACCCGAGGAAUAAGCCCCGGCUAACUUCGUGCCAGCAGCCGCGGUAAUACGAAGGGGGCUAGCGUUGUUCGGAAUGACUGGGCGUAAAGGGCGCGUAGGCGGUGAGAUAAGUUUGAUGUGAAAUCCCUGGGCUUAACCUAGGACGUGCAUUGAAGACUGUUUCGCUAGAGGCCAAGAGAGGAAAAUGGAAUUGCGCGUGUAGAGGUGAAAUUCGUAGAGAUGCGCAAGAACACCAGUGGCGAAGGCGAUUUUCUGGCUUGGUACUGACGCUAAGGCGCGAAAGCGUGGGGAGCAAA